Molecule: long non-coding RNA, 204 nt
Filed under: Mytilus galloprovincialis (Mediterranean mussel)
Lineage: Eukaryota; Metazoa; Mollusca; Bivalvia; Mytilida; Mytilidae
Source: RNAcentral
UGUUUUGUUUCAUUCCAUUCAGUGGUUCACUAAAAGAAGUCAUUUGUAUGUAUUUCCCCUAUUGUCCUACGUUAAACUAAGUCCCCUGCUGGCAGCCAUCUUGGAUGAUGGAUCGGCUACAAAGUAACAACACUUGGUCAGCACCUCAUAAGGAACAUUCAUGCCAUGUUUGAUUUCAUUCCAUUCAGUGGUUCUCCAGAAGAA